UGAGGUAUCCUAUGAUCAUUUUGGUCAAGGGGAUGAAUUAUAUGAAAACUAUAUCCGCAUGGGUUCUAAGGAUGUUGUUCUACACAUUCGACCUAUCCGAUCGUCGAGUACCAUUGCUAGAUGGUCACUUUGAUUGGUAUAAGAAUUUAUUCCUGUACUAUCGGCUUAGGUUAGGACCUAUGAGGUCACACACAUUAGAGUUCAUGAUCCGAUCGGAUGGUUGAUCAACGAUUAAGAAUCGUUUUAGGGUUAAAUGAUCAAUACGAUUGACAUUUAACCCAGUGCAAGUGUUGCAGAAGGAUCGAUUAGCAAUUCGAUUGCUAAUUGGCUUAAUUUGAUUAAGUCAAUGGGAUAAGAUUAAGUCUAAUUAAAUAUAAUUUAAUUAGAUUUAGUUU
RNAcentral lists this long non-coding RNA (395 nucleotides) under Elaeis guineensis (African oil palm). RNAcentral describes it as "long non-coding RNA (EGUI_LNC059506)". The record is from RNAcentral. Lineage: Eukaryota; Viridiplantae; Streptophyta; Magnoliopsida; Arecales; Arecaceae.